CCCCGCUUCACCGCCAUCCACAUAACAAGUCGAGCGGAACGGCAGUAUUGAAGCUUCGGUGGAUUUACUGGACGUCGAGCGGCGGACGGGUGAGUAACGGCUGGGAACCUGCCCUGACGAGGGGGAUAACCGUUGGAAACGACGGCUAAUACCGCAUAAUGUCUUGAUUCGUUAGAGUCAGGACCAAAGGUGGCCUCUACAUGUAAGCUAUCGCGUUGGGAUGGGCCCAGUUAGGAUUAGCUAGUUGGUAAGGUAAUGGCUUACCAAGGCAACGAUCCUUAGCUGGUUUGAGAGGAUGAUCAGCCACACUGGGACUGAGACACGGCCCAGACUCCUACGGGAGGCAGCAGUGGGGAAUAUUGCACAAUGGGGGAGACCCUGAUGCAGCCAUGCCGCGUGUGUGAAGAAGGCCUUCGGGUUGUAAAGCACUUUCAGCAGUGAGGAAGGUCGUGUACUUAAUACGUGCACGGCUUGACGUUAGCUGCAGAAGAAGCACCGGCUAACUCCGUGCCAGCAGCCGCGGUAAUACGGAGGGUGCGAGCGUUAAUCGGAAUUACUGGGCGUAAAGCGCAUGCAGGCGGUUUGUUAAGUCAGAUGUGAAAGCCCGGGGCUCAACCUCGGAACCGCAUUUGAAACUGGCAGGCUAGAGUCUUGUAGAGGGGGGUAGAAUUUCAGGUGUAGCGGUGAAAUGCGUAGAGAUCUGAAGGAAUACCAGUGGCGAAGGCGGCCCCCUGGACAAAGACUGACGCUCAGAUGCGAAAGCGUGGGUAGCAAACAGGAUUAGAUACCCUGGUAGUCCACGCCGUAAACGCUGUCUACUUGGAGGUUGAGGUUUUAGACUUUGGCUUUCGGCGCUAACGCAUUAAGUAGACCGCCUGGGGAGUACGGCCGCAAGGUUAAAACUCAAAUGAAUUGACGGGGGCCCGCACAAGCGGUGGAGCAUGUGGUUUAAUUCGAUGCAACGCGAAGAACCUUACCUACUCUUGACAUCCAGCGAAGCCUUUAGAGAUAGAGGCGUGCCUUCGGAGCGCUGAGACAGUGCUGCAUGCUGUCGUCAGCUCGUGUGUGAAAUGUUGGCUAGUCCCGCACGAGCGCACCUAUCCUGUGCAGCCGUAUGAGGAACUCAGGAACUGCUGUGAUACCGAGAA
Molecule: ribosomal RNA, 1148 nt
Filed under: Salinivibrio sp.
Lineage: Bacteria; Pseudomonadati; Pseudomonadota; Gammaproteobacteria; Vibrionales; Vibrionaceae
Description: bacterial SSU rRNA
Rfam family: Bacterial small subunit ribosomal RNA
Source: RNAcentral